ACACGUGGGUAACCUGCCUUAUAGUGGGGGAGUAGCCUUUCGAAAGGAAGAUUAAUACCGCAUAAGAUUGUAGUAUCGCAUGAUAUAGCAAUUAAAGGAGCAAUUCGCUAUAAGAUGGACCCGCGUCGCAUUAGCUAGUUGGUGAGGUAAUGGCUCACCAAGGCGACGAUGCGUAGCCGACCUGAGGAGGGUGAACGGCCACAUUGGGACUGAGACACGGCCCAGACUCCUACGGGAGGCAGCAUG
This 246-nucleotide ribosomal RNA is filed under the name uncultured bacterium. RNAcentral describes it as "partial 16S ribosomal RNA". It matches the Rfam family "Bacterial small subunit ribosomal RNA", at positions 113 to 353 of the family's 1533-position model. The record is from RNAcentral.